This is a non-coding RNA of Microcebus murinus (gray mouse lemur), 3408 nucleotides long. NCBI's taxonomy places the organism in Eukaryota, Metazoa, Chordata, Mammalia, Primates, Cheirogaleidae. The record is from RefSeq and is a predicted model, not a curated record.
CGGACUCCUCCUCCUUCCGGAAGCGGAGCGCCGGCCCCGCAACGGCCGGGUGUGCCGCAGCUGCAUUGGCGGGCACCGCAGAAGCGGAGGCUGCGGCACCGGGGUGGAGCAUCAUGGACGAAGCCGGGAGCUCCGCGAGCGGCGGAGGCUUCCGUCCGGGCGUGGACAGCCUGGACGAACCGCCCAACAGCCGCAUCUUCCUGGUGAUCAGCAAGUACACGCCCGAGUCGGUGCUCCGGGAGCGCUUCUCGCCUUUUGGCGAGAUCCAGGACAUCUGGGUAGUGCGGGACAAGCACACCAAGGAGUCCAAGGGCAUCGCCUUUGUCAAGUUCGCCCGCAGCUCCCAGGCCUGCAGGGCCAUGGAGGAGAUGCACGGCCAGUGCCUCGGCCCCAACGACACCAAGCCCAUAAAGGUUUUCAUUGCUCAGUCCAGAUCAUCUGGAAGUCAUCGAGAUGUUGAAGACGAAGAACUUACAAGAAUCUUUGUUAUGAUACCAAAGUCGUAUACAGAAGAAGAUUUACGGGAAAAAUUUAAAGUGUAUGGAGAUAUCGAGUAUUGCAGCAUUAUUAAGAAUAAAGUCACUGGAGAGAGUAAAGGUUUGGGCUACGUACGAUACUUAAAACCAUCACAAGCUGCCCAAGCAAUAGAAAACUGUGAUCGAAGUUUUAGAGCAAUCUUGGCUGAACCUAAAAAUAAAGCAUCUGAAUCCUCAGAGCAAGACUAUUAUAAUAAUAUGAGGCAAGAGGCUCUGGGACAUGAACCUAGAGUAAAUAUGUUUCCCUUUGAACAACAAUCUGAAUUUUCAAGUUUUGACAAGAAUGACAACAGAGGCCAGGAAGCCAUCUCCAAACGCUUGUCAGUUGUAUCAAGAGUUCCUUUCACUGAAGAACAGCUUUUCAGUAUUUUUGAUAUAGUACCAGGAUUGGAAUAUUGUGAAGUUCAACGAGAUCCUUAUUCAAAUUAUGGUCAUGGAGUGGUUCAGUAUUUUAAUGUAGCAUCAGCUAUUUAUGCAAAAUACAAGUUACAUGGAUUUCAGUACCCUCCUGGCAAUCGGAUAGGUGUUUCCUUCAUUGAUGAUGGAAGUAAUGCAACAGAUCUCCUUAGAAAAAUGGCAACGCAGAUGGUAGCUGCACAGCUUGCAUCAAUGGUGUGGAAUAACCCAAGUCAGCAGCAAUAUAUGCAAUUUGGAGGAAGUUCUGGAUCACAGUUGCCUCAAAUCCAGACUGAUGUUGUACUUCCACCAUGCAAAAAAAAAGCCCCUCCUGAAACUCCCGUGAAAGAAAGACUUUUUAUCGUGUUUAAUCCUCAUCCUUUACCUUUAGAUGUAUUAGAAGAUAUAUUCUGUCGUUUUGGUAACCUGAUCGAAGUUUACCUUGUAUCAGGAAAGAAUGUGGGGUAUGCCAAGUAUGCAGAUAGAAUAAGUGCUAACGAUGCCAUUGCCACUUUACAUGGAAAGAUUCUCAAUGGGGUCAGACUUAAAGUUAUGCUGGCAGAUUCCCCAAGAGAAGAAUCUAACAAACGGCAAAGAACUUACUGAUUCUUGAGGUAAGCACUUUUUAAUCUGAAUUUUAAUACAUAUUGGCUAAAGCAUAUAGCAAGAGAAAUAUGUGUAAGUACUUUAAUCAUGGACUUUUCUUUUUAGUGAUUGGAAAGUUGUCUGUUAAAAGCACUUUGACUUAAAACUCAGCUGAUAAAGCCAAGUAUUUUUUACAAUAUAUUUUUUGAACUUAAACUAUUGAAAAAAAUGUUGACAUUAACUGGAAGAAUGUUUUUGUUCUUCUAUGAAAUAAGAUCAAAUUUCAGUUCAGAAAAUUAAAUGGUUUUUGUUUGUCAGUAUGUUAAGUUUUAAGAAUUGGACUUUUUACUGUGUGCUUCCAUAAACUUUAAAAAUUGAAUGUUUCUAAAUAUUUUUAACUAGAAGAAUCAGUAUCUUGAGUUAUGAAUUGAUAUAAUUUAUAACAGUAUUUAUAAAGAAUAAUAUAAUUUUUUGGAUAUUUUGAACCUAAAUGUUGGUGUUUUCUGGACUUAUAUUUGUGAAUUUGUGCUUUAAUACUAUACAUCCAGAAAAUAUUCUCAUGUGCAGAUAUUUUUUUUAAAAACUUGACAAUUUACCAAAAAUUAUUAUCUAUUAUAAAUAAUAAUGUAUACAGCCAUAUGAAUUCCUUUUCUUAUGUAUUAGUUUUCAAAAAUUAAACUAUAAUUUUUUUUUUCUGAGACUGUCAUUUUAAUAUCCCUGUGGUUUGGAGAGACAUUCCUUAAAGUUAGACUUUUUUAUUCUGUAAAUGAAUUCUUGGUUUCAGGGGAAGCUGUUUCCCUGUUCUCACACACUCCAGCUUCCCAAGUCUACUACAGGUCAAAUGGUAGUAGUUGGCAAGCACUUUGAAUUCAGUUGGAAGUUACUGGCUUGCAACCAUUUCUUUUUUUCACUUAAGGUUUUCUUUCUGACCAAUUACGUGAGCUAGCGGUUGUCAGAGCGAGUCCUCUCAGCCCUUCCUGCUGAUGGCCCUUCCUCUCAGAGCAAGUCAGAUCUUCUACUUACCAUGGACUCCAUACUGAGAUUCUUCUCCUUUGUUGGUAUAUUAAAUAUAUAUCUUAUUUUAAGUUUUGAUAAAGUACUAUGAAAGACUUUUCCAGAUUUUACAUGAUUGUGACAAGUUUUUUUUUUAUUGGGGGGGUUGUACUUUUUUGUUUGUUUCUUGAAUUUUAAGAGGACACAGACACAGUUUGUGAAGAGCUAAUUCCUCUUGGCUCUGUGAGGAAUAAACCUGGGAUUAAAUGAGCCACGCCUAGGAAAUAGGAGAAGAAACUGAUCUAAGAAUAUAACUUUAAAAAUAGUUGUUCUAUUUUGUGAUAGCUCUGAUGUCCAAAAUGUAUUUCUCUUUCUAUUUGAGGAAAAUAGAAAUUUUAGUAUUUCAGAGCAUCGGAUUUUGUAUUAAUUCACAACAUUUUACCUCUAGAAAUUCACUACCUGCUUGCAUCAUCCUUCUGAGUAAGUUUGGUUUUGUUUAUUUGGGGGCAUCUAUGAUUAAGCAGAUAACAUUGGUUAUACUGAAAUAAGGGAACAAUUCCUAACAUUUUAGGAAUACUAUAUACAACAGCUAUUUCCUUUCAGGUGAUGAUUUUCAUACUUGUGUUGUGUUCUUUCUACAGAACAAAAACUAAAUAAUGACAUAAUCCUCAGCUGACUGACUGAAAAUGUGACUGGACGCACUCCCUGUGGACAGUUGACAGCCUUUUUUUUCAUAUACCUGAUAGUCUGUGCACAGCAUUGUUUUGUCUGGGAAGCAGGGAUUGCUGACAUGUAUUUUUGAAUCCAUAUAUCAAUGCUAAAACUAAUAUAGUAGUUGUUUCUUAGAGCAAUAUGUUGUUAUGUGUAGCAGAAAUAAAGUUUUCUUUGCUUAACUAAA